GGGCCCGUGGCCCAGCUGGUGGGGCGCCCACCCCGCCCGCGGGAGGUCCCGGGUUCGAGUCCCGGCGGGCCCACCA
Molecule: transfer RNA, 76 nt
Filed under: Thermoprotei archaeon
Lineage: Archaea; Thermoproteati; Thermoproteota; Thermoprotei
Description: tRNA-Ala
Rfam family: tRNA
About the family: Transfer RNA (tRNA) molecules are approximately 80 nucleotides in length.
Source: RNAcentral